CAGCAGCCGCGGUAAUACGAAGGGGGCUAGCGUUGUUCGGAAUUACUGGGCGUAAAGCGCACGUAGGCGGAUAUUUAAGUCAGGGGUGAAAUCCCGCAGUUCAACUGCGGAACUGCCUUUGAUACUGGGUAUCUUGAGUAUGGAAGAGGUUAGUGGAAUUGCGAGUGUAGAGGUGAAAUUCGUAGAUAUUCGCAGGAACACCAGUGGCGAAGGCGGCUAACUGGUCCAUAACUGACGCUGAGGUGCGAAAGCGUGGGGAGCAAACAGGAUUAGAUACCCCUGUAGUCCCUGUCUCUUAUAC
This 301-nucleotide ribosomal RNA is filed under the name uncultured bacterium. RNAcentral describes it as "partial 16S ribosomal RNA". It matches the Rfam family "Bacterial small subunit ribosomal RNA", at positions 509 to 807 of the family's 1533-position model. The record is from RNAcentral.